ACACGACUACAUUAGAUACCCCCGUAGUCCUAGCCGUAAACGAUACUCGCUAGGUGUCGGCCACGGUGCGACCGUUGUCGGUGCCGUAGGGAAGCCGUGAAGCGAGCCACCUGGGAAGUACGGCCGCAAGGCUGAAACUUAAAGGAAUUGGCGGGGGAGCACCACAACGGGUGGAGCUUGCGGUUUAAUUGGAUUCAACGCCGGAAAUCUUACCGGGACCGACAGCAACAUGAAGGCCAGGCUGAAGACUUUGCCGGAUUUAGCUG
This 266-nucleotide ribosomal RNA is filed under the name uncultured archaeon. RNAcentral's name for it is "partial 16S ribosomal RNA". It matches the Rfam family "Archaeal small subunit ribosomal RNA", at positions 717 to 982 of the family's 1478-position model. The record is from RNAcentral.